Molecule: long non-coding RNA, 633 nt
Organism: Misgurnus anguillicaudatus (oriental weatherfish)
Lineage: Eukaryota; Metazoa; Chordata; Actinopteri; Cypriniformes; Cobitidae
Source: RefSeq, a predicted model, not a curated record
UGUCAGUUAUGUUGUGUGCGGUUAAAUCUGCACAGCAGAUCAAUGAUGUUUAAUGGAACUUUGAGGUUUUUUCUUUCAGAUCAUUGAAUAACCGAAUCACUUUUCAUUUCAAGUGACAUUUCCUGAGUUUAUUCCGACUAUAAAAGAACCAUGAACAGACCAUAAAUAUCAUUAUCUACUGCUGAGCAACAUCUUUAGUCCUACCACUGUGAUUUUUAUCAAGAUUACCAACAUCUUCAGAUCUAUUAGUGGAUUAACAAUUUCAGAGGACUAAGAUAAAACAACUCGGAUUUAAAAUGUAAGCGGUUUUAGUGGAUCUGACAUCGAGGGAAAAGGUUUUUGUUUGGAGAUGAACGAGACAACACGAGGCACAGCAACAUUCAAUAUGACCAACCAGAGACAAGAUUUUCUAAUGUCGAAGUAAACAGAAACAGAUGAAGAUACAGCCCUUAGAAAUACUUAUUCUUGGUGAUCAACUGCUAUUGACAUUUUUGAAUCGGGACAAAUGAUGAGUGAUUUGAAAUAGGGCUGGGUUUCGAUUCAAAUUUCAAGAAUCGAUUCGAUUCCGAUUCUCAAGAUCUUUAAUCGAUUAUCAUUGUUCGAUUCGAUUCGAGCUGAUCCGAUCUUGGAGAU